This is a non-coding RNA of Gymnogyps californianus (California condor), 491 nucleotides long. Lineage: Eukaryota; Metazoa; Chordata; Aves; Accipitriformes; Cathartidae. The record is from the annotation of a RefSeq genome assembly.
AUGGCGCCCGGGCUGGGGCCGUGGCUGCUGGCCUUGUCCUUGGCCGCGGGGCCGGCAGGGGUGUGGGCGCAGCUGAGGCUGGUGGAGGCCGGCGGAGGGCUGCGAGCGCCCGGGGACUCCGUGCUCCUCUCCUGCCGCGGAUCUGGCUUCCCCUUCGUGAAUCAUUAUGUUCGGUGGUACCGUCAGGCACCCGGUGGCAAACUCGAGUGGGUGUCCUGGAUAAGCCAUUAUUCAUCACGGACUCAAUUCGGGCCCGCAGUGGAAGGUCGAGCCACAGCCUCCCGGGACAAUUCCCAGUCCGAGGCAUCUCUCAUCCUGCACCUCCUGCACCCCCACGACUCUGCCCGCUACUUCUGUGCUGUUCGCACGGAGAGAGGAAAUCCAGCCGAGCUUUAACAGAAACCACUCGCCAGGGUCCCAGCUCUGGCCCUCGGAGCUGAAAGGGAGGUGUGUCCAUAGAUGUUCAGUGUUACUCCUAGGGAGCCGUGUAG